UAGUCCGCACAGUAAACUAUGAAUACUCGUUGUUUGCGAUAUACAGUAAGCGACUAAGCGAAAGCAUUAAGUAUUCCACCUGGGGAGUACGCCGGCAACGGUGAAACUCAAAGGAAUUGACGGGGGCCCGCACAAGCGGAGGAACAUGUGGUUUAAUUCGAUGAUACGCGAGAAACCUUACCUGGGCUUAAAUUGCAAAUGACAGGAGCUGAAAGGCUCCCUUCUUCGGACAUUUGUGA
Molecule: ribosomal RNA, 239 nt
Filed under: uncultured bacterium
Lineage: Bacteria
Description: partial 16S ribosomal RNA
Rfam family: Bacterial small subunit ribosomal RNA
Source: RNAcentral